Molecule: ribosomal RNA, 253 nt
Filed under: uncultured bacterium
Lineage: Bacteria
Description: partial 16S ribosomal RNA
Rfam family: Bacterial small subunit ribosomal RNA
Source: RNAcentral
UACGGAGGGUGCAAGCGUUAUCCGGAUUCACUGGGUUUAAAGGGUGCGUAGGUGGGCAGGUAAGUCAGUGGUGAAAUCUCCGGGCUUAACCCGGAAACUGCCAUUGAUACUAUUUGUCUUGAAUACCGUGGAGGUCAGCGGAAUAUGUCAUGUAGCGGUGAAAUGCUUAGAUAUGACAUAGAACACCAAUUGCGAAGGCAGCUGGCUACACGAAUAUUGACACUGAUGCACGAAAGCGUGGGGAUCAAACAGG